UAACACAUGCAAGUCGAACGGUAACAGGAAGCAGCUUGCUGCUUCGCUGACGAGUGGCGGACGGGUGAGUAAUGUCUGGGAAACUGCCUGAUGGAGGGGGAUAACUACUGGAAACGGUAGCUAAUACCGCAUAACGUCGCAAGACCAAAGAGGGGGACCUUCGGGCCUCUUGCCAUCGGAUGUGCCCAGAUGGGAUUAGCUAGUAGGUGGGGUAACGGCUCACCUAGGCGACGAUCCCUAGCUGGUCUGAGAGGAUGACCAGCCACACUGGAACUGAGACACGGUCCAGACUCCUACGGGAGGCAGCAGUGGGGAAUAUUGCACAAUGGGCGCAAGCCUGAUGCAGCCAUGCCGCGUGUAUGAAGAAGGCCUUCGGGUUGUAAAGUACUUUCAGUGGGGAGGAAGGGAGUAAAGUUAAUACCUUUGCUCAUUGACGUUACCCGCAGAAGAAGCACCGGCUAACUCCGUGCCAGCAGCCGCGGUAAUACGGAGGGCGCAAGCGUUAAUCGGAAUUACUGGGCGUAAAGCGCACGCAGGCGGUUUGUUAAGUCAGAUGUGAAAUCCCCGGGCUCAACCUGGGAACUGCAUCUGAUACUGGCAAGCUUGAGUCUCGUAGAGGGGGGUAGAAUUCCAGGUGUAGCGGUGAAAUGCGUAGAGAUCUGGAGGAAUACCGGUGGCGAA
This 681-nucleotide ribosomal RNA is filed under the name uncultured Pseudomonadota bacterium. RNAcentral's name for it is "bacterial SSU rRNA". It matches the Rfam family "Bacterial small subunit ribosomal RNA", at positions 49 to 719 of the family's 1533-position model. The record is from RNAcentral. Lineage: Bacteria; Pseudomonadati; Pseudomonadota.